This 440-nucleotide ribosomal RNA is filed under the name uncultured Stenotrophomonas sp. RNAcentral describes it as "bacterial SSU rRNA". It matches the Rfam family "Bacterial small subunit ribosomal RNA", at positions 358 to 789 of the family's 1533-position model. Lineage: Bacteria; Pseudomonadati; Pseudomonadota; Gammaproteobacteria; Lysobacterales; Lysobacteraceae. The record is from RNAcentral.
GGAAUAUUGGACAAUGGGCGCAAGCCUGAUCCAGCCAUACCGCGUGGGUGAAGAAGGCCUUCGGGUUGUAAAGCCCUUUUGUUGGGAAAGAAAUCCAGCCGGCUAAUACCUGGUUGGGAUGACGGUACCCAAAGAAUAAGCACCGGCUAACUUCGUGCCAGCAGCCGCGGUAAUACGAAGGGUGCAAGCGUUACUCGGAAUUACUGGGCGUAAAGCGUGCGUAGGUGGUUGUUUAAGUCUGUUGUGAAAGCCCUGGGCUCAACCUGGGAAUUGCAGUGGAUACUGGGCGACUAGAGUGUGGUAGAGGGUAGUGGAAUUCCCGGUGUAGCAGUGAAAUGCGUAGAGAUCGGGAGGAACAUCCAUGGCGAAGGCAGCUACCUGGACCAACACUGACACUGAGGCACGAAAGCGUGGGGAGCAAACAGGAUUAGAUACCCCUG